This 1372-nucleotide ribosomal RNA is filed under the name human gut metagenome. RNAcentral describes it as "bacterial LSU rRNA". It matches the Rfam family "Bacterial large subunit ribosomal RNA", at positions 845 to 2236 of the family's 2925-position model. The record is from RNAcentral.
AUAGCUGGUUCUCCUCGAAAUAGCUUUAGGGCUAGCCUCGAGCUGGAGUCUAACGGAGGUAAAGCACUGAACUGACGCGGGGCCCAAAAAGGUUACCAACUCAUAUCAAACUAAGAAUGCCGUCAAGAUACCCUCGGGAGUCAGUCUGCGUGAGAUAAGUCGCGUGGACAAAAGGGAAAGAGCCCAGACCGACAGCUAAGGUCCCAAAGUGUGUGUUAAGUGGAAAAGGAUGUGGGAUUUCAUAGACAACUAGGAUGUUGGCUUAGAAGCAGCCAUACAUUUAAAGAGUGCGUAAUAGCUCACUAGUCGAGAAAACCUGCGCCGAAAAUGUAACGGGGCUAAAACACGACACCGAAGCUACGGAUUCCUUACAAAGUAAGGAGUGGUAGAGGAGCAUCCUGCAAGGACGAAGCCAAAGUGAGAGCGAUGGUGGACGAAACAGGAGAGAGAAUGCCGGAAUGAGUAGCGAGAUACAUGUGAGAAACAUGUAGGCCGAAUAUCUAAGGAUUCCUGGGUAAAGCUAAUCUUCCCAGGGUUAGUCGGGGCCUAAGGCGAGGACGAAAGUCGUAGUCGAUGGAUAACAGGUUGAUAUUCCUGUACUACACAUAAUCAGAACUGUGGGGACGCAGGAGGAUAGGGAAACCGGGGAAUGGAAAGACCCGGUCAAGCGUAAAGCUGUGGGAGAUAGGCAAAUCCGUCUCCUGUAAGUGAAACGUGAUGAGGACUGAAAAAAAGUAAGGAAGUUUCCGAAUCCACACUGCCGAGAAAAGCCGCUAUUGCGUUAUGUGUACCCGUACCGUAAACCGACACAGGUAGAUGAGGAGAAAAUCCACAGGCCGACGGGAGAAGUGUUGUUAAGGAACUCGGCAAAAUGACCCCGUAACUUCGGGAUAAGGGGAGCCUCGCAAGAGGCCGCAGAAAAGAGGCACAAGCAACUGUUUAGCAAAAACAUAGGUCUAUGCGAAACCGUAAGGUGAAGUAUAUGGGCUGACGCCUGCCCGGUGCUGGAAGGUUAAAAGGAGAGGUCAGCGCAAGCGAAGCUUUGAAUUCAAGCCCCAGUAAACGGCGGCCGUAACUAUAACGGUCCUAAGGUAGCGAAAUUCCUUGUCAGGUAAGUUCUGACCCGCACGAAAGGUGUAAUGAUUUGAGCACUGUCUCGACAACACGCCCGGUGAAAUUGAAGAACCAGUGAAGAUACUGGUUACCCGCAACAGGACGGAAAGACCCCAUGGAGCUUUACUGCAGCCUGAUACUGGGAUUCGAUGAUAUAUGUACAGGAUAGGUGGGAGGCUAAGAAGCGAGAACGCCAGUUUUCGUGGAGCCGCCGGUGGGAUACCACUCUUAUGUCAUUGAAUUUCUAACCUGCAUCCGU